AGAGUUUGAUCAUGGCUCAGAACGAACGCUGGCGGCAGGCCUAAAACAUGCAAGUCGAGCGCCCAGCAAUGGGAGCGGCGGACGGGUGAGUAACACGUGGGAAUGUACCUAUCGGUUCGGAACAACUCAGGGAAACUUGAGCUAAUACCGGAUACGCCCUUUGGGGAAAGAUUUAUCGCCGAUAGAUCAGCCCGCGUUGGAUUAGCUAGUUGGUGAGGUAACGGCUCACCAAGGCGACGAUCCAUAGCUGGUUUGAGAGAACGACCAGCCACACUGGGACUGAGACACGGCCCAGACUCCUACGGGAGGCAGCAGUUGGGAAUCUUGGACAAUGGGGGAAACCCUGAUCCAGCCAUGCCGCGUGAGUGAUGAAGGCCUUCGGGUUGUAAAACUCUUUCGACGGGGACGAUAAUGACGGUACCCGUAGAAGAAGCUCCGGCUAACUUCGUGCCAGCAGCCGCGGUAAUACGAAGGGGGCUAGCGUUGUUCGGAAUUACUGGGCGUAAAGCGUGCGCAGGCGGCCAUCCAAGUCAGUGGUGAAAGCCCGGAGCUCAACUCCGGAAUUGCCAUUGAAACUGUUUGGCUCGAGUACGAGAGAGGUGAGUGGAAUUCCCAGUGUAGAGGUGAAAUUCGUAGAUAUUGGGAAGAACACCGGUGGCGAAGGCGGCUCACUGGCUCGUAACUGACGCUCAAGCACGACAGCGUGGGGAUCAAACAGGAUUAGAUACCCUGGUAGUCCACGCCGUAAACGAUGAACGCUAGCCGUUGGCCAGCUUGCUGGUCAGUGGCGCAGCUAACGCAUUAAGCGUUCCGCCUGGGGAGUACGGCCGCAAGGUUGAAACUCAAGGAAUUGACGGGGGCCCGCACAGCGUGGAGCAUGUGGUUUAAUUCGACGCAACGCGCAGAACCUUACCAGGGUUUGACAUCCUGUGCUCGCCGGUGAAAGCCGGUUU
Molecule: ribosomal RNA, 953 nt
Filed under: uncultured bacterium
Lineage: Bacteria
Description: bacterial SSU rRNA
Rfam family: Bacterial small subunit ribosomal RNA
Source: RNAcentral